This is a long non-coding RNA of Pipra filicauda (Wire-tailed manakin), 5152 nucleotides long. RefSeq lists it as uncharacterized. Lineage: Eukaryota; Metazoa; Chordata; Aves; Passeriformes; Pipridae. The record is from RefSeq and is a predicted model, not a curated record. The transcript has 2 exons.
GCACCGACACACGGCACGGAGAGGAGAAGAGGCAGCAAUGGUGUUCGGGGGCACCUGUCUCCAGAUGGUCCCAAAUGGUCCCAAAAAGCGCCAAUGCUGCGCUGUCCCGCCGCCAGAGGCGACCCCUCGGGACCGGCUUCAGAGCCACCGGCGAAGUCGUGUUUCCCCCUGGGAAUGUAGUGAUCCCUGUCUCCCUGCGCUGCCUCCUUUAGCUGGGAUGUGUCCCAAAGCACUUACAGAAUCACCAAGGCUGGGAGAGACCUUUGGGAUCAUCCGGUCCAACUAUGCACCAAGUGCUCUGUAACCCCUAAAUCACAUCACCCUGCACCACAUCCAACACCUCCAGGCAUGGUGACUCCACCACCUCCCUGAGCAACCCAUUCCAAUGCCUGACACCUGAACAGUGAAAAUACUGUUCUGAUAUCUGAUUUGAAUUGCCCAUCUCAGCUUAAGGCCAUUUCUUCUGCUCCUCUCACUGAAGACACAGCAGAAGAAACUGGCCCCCACCACACUACAACCUCCUCUCAGGUAGUUGUGGAGAGUGAUGAGGUCCCCCCUGAGCCUCCUCAAGACUAAACAAGCCCAUAUAAAUAACUUAGUUGAGGGCACAGAGCCCUGUCAGUCACACCCAGCCCGUCACUGUGGGAGCACAGCUCCAGAAGGUCACGGAGCCGCCUGCCAGCACCUGCCACUGCACCCAGAGCAGCAGGACUUUAAAUAACCCAUUUUGUCCCUUUCCUGUCCACCUGUCAUGGCAGAGCUCAGUGCAGCUUCACAGCUACAGCUUACCCGGGUUUGCUCUUAAAGGAACAGCCGAGUCACUCUUUUCUAUUGAAAUCAGCACCACAUCAGUCAUAGACGAGUGUUAUGACACAGAUCGGGCUCAGAAACAAGUACAGCUUCGAGGAAAUAGGAGUUACCCAUUUGUAUUUGCUUCUCAGUCACACAUUAGCCCAUUCUCCCUGCUUGUUUCCUCUUUUGCCUCAUCAAAUUGCCCUUACAAGGCCUGGAUUAGUUCCUGCCUCCUCAGGGGUCUUGACUUUCGUUUUCUGGUUCCUACUCCCACCUGUUGCUUCCAAAUCCCAAUUGUAUUUUUCCUUUUGUAUUCCAAGCUGUCACUUCCCACCAGCUCUGUCUUUGCUUCCACUGCCACCCACAACAGCUGCCACAUGUCCAGGAUUUGGGUUGUGCUUCCCUGGGCAAAGACCAGCAGAGAGGAGCUGCCAUCCCUUCGUUCUCUGGUUUCACACACAGCAAUGACCACCACUGGUCACAAAAGGGAAGCAAAGCAUCACAGCUUUAUAAAUGCAAGAUUAUCAUAUCCUUCCCGAGAGGGGUGUCCCAAGGCCUUUCUGAAGCCCUUCACAGCAAGGUAACUCCUUUCAGACUCUGCCUGCACCUCCCAACAUCAAUUAAAAUGGAUAUCUUCCCAUUCAGAAGAGAGCCUUCCUUAUACAGCCCAACCACGGUCUAACUUCUGGGGACAUUUCAUAAAAGGUCUCAAAACAACAGAUGCUCACUUGCUGCUGGGGCUUGGCUCAAAGAAUUUGACAAUUCCCAGAGUGAUGCCCUCUCUGCACUCUCCUCUUUGCUCUAUGGAAAAAUGAAGGAGUAAAGCUAAGCCUCUGAGUUAGAGUCGUUGUUAAGCCCUGAGAAGGAUGAGAGGAGAGCACCCAGUGGCUUCUGCAGCUGAUUUCAUUUAGUGUUUGUUCUUGCUGCUCACUCAGGAGGAACAUGACUCAAAUAUUGUGAAAGAGCAAAUGGCAACACAGCUCUCAACUCAGCCUGAAACUGCUCCUCUGUGUAUGUACACAAACCCCACGGAGUUUCAUUACAAAGGAAGAAGAGUGGGAUCUGUGUGACACAAACCCUUGUUGUUACAUGAGUUACCUGCUGUUACACAAGACUUUCAGAAAUGACAGGUGAUGCUCAGACCUAAUACAUAACUGGGUUUAAUAUCCCUGAUACAAUAACAACAAAAAAAAACCCCCAAACACACAACAAAAAUUUGAAAGUUUAAUUGCUAAAUAUUCAGUUACCUCCUUUCACUUCUUUCUAAUGUUUUUCAUUUUCUAAACCUCUAAGGCAGUUUUAGUCCUUGAAUAACUGUUAAGGGGAUAAAUGUACAGUUAUAAUCCUGAGAUACGGGGAGGGGUGUGAAUGUAUUCAGAGAAGAUUUACAUCCUUCUUCUCUCAUCUUCUUGUAAGACCUUUAUCAACUACUCUGAUUACAUCAAACAGAACAGUAACAUUUUUCCCUGAACUGCACUGUCCAAGUAGCUGUGCUGCCUAUAUCACAAACACCUCAUUCCUCAUAUUACAUUACAUAUUACAAAUUACAGAGUCAGGAUUCUGGCUUGUGUUUGAAUUUCAGGCUGCACAGUUCAAGCUGCAAAACUGUGGCAUCUUCCACAUGCAGUGCCUGAGUACUGAGUGCUCACAAAUCAGGGAGUUACAUCUUUGCAGCCUUCCCAUGGCAAUGACUUUGUCAGGCUAAUUAAUAAAAUUGGGGGGAUUUGGCAGCAGCUGAUAAUGAUUAAUGGCCUUACAAUUUAGAGAGUGUAGAAGCAACUGCAUGUUUUCCUCAAGAAUUGACUAAACAGAGCUUCUUUGUAAAGGAAAUCUUAUAUUUGCUCCUUGAGGUGAAAGUUCAGAUCUCCCAAUAUAUCUAUCCUUGGUUAGGUGUGUUACUACAAGACAGAGACAUGAUUGGUAAUCAUGAUUAAUUCCUGGAAUUCGAAGGCAGCUGUAAAUUUUAAACACAAACCCCUAGUUUGGCAAAUGAAAUCAGAAAAUGUGCUAAAUCCUCUCAGAUCCAAUGCAGUGAUGUGUGGAAGAAAGAGCACAUUUCCUCCUAAGUAUUUCUGCAGUGCAAAAUGGGCAUAUAGAAAAUCAUGCAAGUCAGUAUAAUCAGUAGCAACUCACAGUUUUACCUCAUUCCAUCCCAAAGAAUCUCACAGCCUUUAUGGAGAUUGUAGUAGAGAAAUACAAACCAAGGAUCAUUUUACCCCCCCUGAAAUGCAACCAACUGCUUAACAAUUGUACCUCUAUGCUGGGAGCCUGGUCUGCCACAGGAAACUUGCUCUGGAUUAGGAACAAAGGUUCCCCCUUGGAAUUUUUUAGACUCUAUGAAAUUUAUGAGUAUGGAUAUUAAUUUUGUAGAGUCUAUGAACACUUUUAAAUGACUGGGCACACCAGUGAGUUGAAGGCACAUGUGGAGCACACAUAAGCUUGGACUUGAUAGCAAAGCCUGACUGGCAUAUCAGGGCUGGCUGGGAGCAGCAGGGGCUGGUUUGCUGUGUGUGAUCAGAGUGACAGCCCUCAGGAACCGCUGAGCCUCCCCGGCCCUACAAACAGUCUGGCACAGCCAUUAACCAGGCAAAUACGUCCCCUCCAACUGUUUAUUCAUCACUCCCGUUAGAACUGAAUGGUGAGAUAAUGACAGAAGAAUCUUCCACGUGUCCCUGCAGUUGUUGCAGUUUAAACCUUCGGAUGAAAAUAUUUCGGGGCUGAUAAGUGGCUUGGAGCAGGACAGCAGGUCAGUGACACUGACAGCAGGCAGUGACUAACAGUGUGUAGCUGAAUAAAUCCAGUGAUCCUAUUUAUAUUGGGGUUUAUUUUUAUUUUUGCUGGAAUUCCCAUUAGACAUAGUUGCUAAACCUGAUUUUUACUUUUUCCUAUAGCAACAUUUUUAACUUACCAGAGUAUCUGCUUGGAAUCCCUGAAGAGAUGGAUGGUCAUGUGCUCACUCCCAGGUACCAGAGGCAAAGAGGCAGGCAAAAUAUUCUGAAAAACCUUAAAUGAAAUUGAAAGGCCGUGAAACCUAAGCCACUUCUGUACAUGGGACAUAAGCUUUGUGGGUGCUUAAGAAUGUUUUGUUCAUAUUUUGCAGAUAAGGUGUACAGUUGUGAAUUUUGUUAUUAGAGCCAGUCCAUCCUGCAGUGAGGCAAUAGGAGACUUCAACCGAGCUCAAUACAGCUACAAUUUCACAAAAAUGUUUGAAAAACCAGAUGUUUAUUUGAAAUCAGCUGGUGAUUAAAUGGUAUAUGUUGUGGUUGGGUUUGUGUCUCCAUCUGAGGCUUUAUUUUGCUACAGAUGCUCUGUGUAAUGAAAGCUCUCAUGAGAAAAACUGAGCACUGACAAGAAGUAUUCCUAGGUAGAAUGAUCAAUCACAAAUAAAUACACUUUCAAACUGGAAUACCGGAGGAUUUAUACUGGGAGUUAUUCUGGAAUACUUGUGCCAACCAAAUUUUUAUGUAGAAGGCCCUGAAAUAAUUCCCAGGGGAAGUAGCUCCUCAGUUUCCUUCAGUGAUGCUCUAUCUGAAGCAAGGCUGAAUUUCCUCUCAGAAGCUCUUGUGCUAGAGAGGAUUUCUAAGGAAACACAAUAAAUAUAGAUAAAAAAGCAUGGAAGUGACAGUAGUAAAAAUUGAAAUGAAUCCUGAAUUGAAGCUUUAGGAUAACUAAGGAAAAACUAUACUUUGUGCUUCUGUGGGUUCUCCUGCAAGGAGAUGUACAGAAGAUCCCCUCCCUCUUCUCCACUCACAGGGAAAUUAAAAGGGAGCCAACAUUUCUACAGAGACAAUUUAUAAAUGUUUGCUUUCCAGGAUUUUAACUCUGGCCAAUUCUCCAAACUCUUAUUUAUCAUCUCCUCAGUCCUGCAGCAGGAAAACUUGCUGAAUCCUAAGCAAAGUUGAGUAACACUUCUAGAUUUGGUCCCUCAGGAAUAGCAGUAGAGACAGAUUUUACACUCUGCGUAUUUCAUCCAUUGUCUUCUUACCAAGUGGCAGCGGGUUUUGUGGGAAUCAUUAAAAACUUCCCUUGUGAUGCAGAGCACUAUUGAUAUUUGAACUCUCAGGGGGAGUAACCUCUGUCUCUAUCCAAAAAGCAUCAGAUUAAAAUAAACACAACAUUGCUCAGUGAAGAGUGAGGAUGUUAAUGACAAUUCUGGGGUUUGAAGUUGGCAUCACUCAAACAUUUGCAGCGUGUCUUGAGGCCCGUGUAGGAGUGUGGUGACAGGAAAGGUGAGACAAAAGACAGGCAAACAUGUAGGAAUCUGUCAUAUACAGGUUUUGCUGUAAUAGACAUUGUACACAUUGUUCUUUUCAUCUGAGAAUGUCAAAGCUCAUUAAAAAAAUCUAGUUAAAUAUAAGAA